GCAGUGCUCAGUGGUAGAGCAUUUGCCUAUCAUGCACAAGGUCCUGAGUUUGAUCCUUGGAACCACA
RNAcentral lists this transfer RNA (67 nucleotides) under Marmota monax (woodchuck). Its description in RNAcentral is "tRNA.Asp". The record is from RNAcentral. Lineage: Eukaryota; Metazoa; Chordata; Mammalia; Rodentia; Sciuridae.